AUUUGCACUAAAAGAAUGCUCUUUAAAUGAACUUUUUUUUUUUCUCUGUUGAAUUGUUUUAAGAAAGAUACCUGUUUCUUAUAGUAAGAAGGCAUUGCAAAGUGCUAUAAUUGUUUUUCGUUUGUAAAUACACCUGCAAACAAUUGUUUUGUUAUAUUAAUAUUUCUCUGCUGAGUAACAUUUGGCCAAGACUUAACUACCACCAUUGGAUGGCAGCCUAAAUUGCGACCCCUGAGGAAGUGAAUUCAUCCUUGACAAUAGCCUCCAUAAAAUCCAUCUUACAAGUGAUAAUUUUGCACAGAUGUUUUAAAAUGAAAUGUUGAAUAAAUGGUUCCUCUUGUUUCUAGCAAGAAUGUGAGUGAGAGAGCGAGCAAGCAAGAGAAAUGACUAGUGACCAGUUGAGAAAGUCCUGUCUUCCACUGAGCCAUUUCACUCCUGCCCAUCUACUCUCAACAGCUCAAGAGCCGCUGAACCCUCGGAACUCUGUGAGGAUCAGAGGAGACAACAUGUGUGAAAACACCUUACCAAUACAAAGCUGUGCAGAUGUAAAGGAUGGUUAUUCCAGAAUGGAGGUUCUUAACUUGAGAAGGGAAGAGAGAGCUAUUAUUUAUUGAUCUCCUCAUACCUCAAAUGAUGCCAAAAAGAAGAGUGAAGGUAAGCAAUAGUCAUUAGCUCCUUUCUUUACAUGUAACCAAGAUGUGAACCAAGACAGUCUGGAUCAGUUGAACAAUUUAUCCCUAUGAGUCAAUCAAAAUCGAAUAUCACUGAGGCCAUGCUCUGGAGUGGAAAAUAUGGACUUUUAGUAUCAUAGAUACUAACCAUCAGUUAGCUACUGGUUAUUUGGAAAUUGUUGGUGUCUGUUCUUUGUCCAGACUUUGCUGCCUAUUUUGCAAUGCAUAGUUCAUGCUUGUUCUAGUUCUACCAUUCACUCCAAUUUAUGGGUCAUGUAUAAUAACAUUCAGCUGACCCUUGGUUUCCAGCAUGCUCAGGUUAACCAUAAUGAUCCCAACUUCUGUUUCAUGUUGGCUCUUGGUGUGUUUACCCAAAACACGUAGAGUUCUAUUGGAAAGAAUGUAAAGCAAAGUGUAAAAUCAUGAGAGGAGUUCAUUGCAAUAUGCUGGACUAACUUUUGGCCAAAUUUAUGUCUUGGGGGUUGAUUUGGAAACAGUGCUUUCAAUUCCCUUUUACCAUAUAUGUCAGAAGAAUUUCCUGUUAAAUAAUAUGAUGUUUUGACUUGGUUUUAAUAUGUUCUAGUACAAAUACCCAGGGACAAAUUCUUCAGCUGAAUACAUCUGAGAGAUGAAUUGUUUAAUUGAUAUGACAGUCUUUAGGCAACCUGUGAGAAAAUGAUCUGAUUGACUUCCCUCUGGGAAAACCUGCCCUUUUUUCCACCUUUCAUCAUGGUUAAGCAAACAGACAGACAAACAAACAAAACAUAAAUCUAGGAAGUUGUGAUGAAAAAGGAGUUGUUGGCAACAUGUAGGCAGAGGCCAAAAAUAAACAGAGCUGAUUGGAAAGUGACUUUCUUUCUGGGGACGGAGUGUGAGGCCUUUUUUUAGUUGGAAGAUGGAGGAAUCUCAUUGUCUUGGGGAAAAGAGAAAGUUUGAGCAGGAUCAAGAGCAGAGGUCAUAGAGAUGCAAAGAAAGGAAGGUAGGAAAUUUGUUAAAGUUUUGUCUGUUCAAUAACUAUCCAGUAGCUACAGACAUCCUUUGUCUCCUCUUAAUGAGUGCAAACCAAGCUUAAAUCCUUGUUGAGCCAGAGAGAACUAGAGUAGACAGGAUGGUGGAAAGAUAAAAGGUGGCCUGGAUGUACAGGAGAUGGGAUGGCGAUGCAAAGAACCCAAAAAAUAGGGCCAGAUUUAAUAACUAGUUAAUGAGCAUAAUUCAAACAAAUUGACCAGAAGAGAAGACCCUGGAUGCACUAGGCAUGACCUUCCAAGGGUAGAAGGAAAUGAGCAGAGAAGACAUUAGUUGUCAAGAUGAAGCACCAGAGAGAGCUCUGGUGGUGAGCCACCAAGUUAAUGCCAGGAAAGCCUGAAGAUAGUAUUCUUUGGGAUGCAGAUUAGGGAUUGGUUUUUCCAGGGGCCAGAUAUCAGAGUUGAACCUAAAUUAAAAAUGAAUGAAACAUAUAUUGGUUAAUUGCUAUGUGCCCAUCACUGUGCUGGGUAUUGAAGAUAGGAUGGAGGUGGGGGGGUGGUGGGCAAGACAACCUAACUCCCGCCCUCCUGGGGCUUACAAUUCAGAAGGAGGAAGAGCAAAUUACAAAGUUGUAGGCCAGGUGCAGUGGCUCAUGCUUGUAAUCUCAGUGCCUUAGGAGGUCGAGGCAGGAAAAUCACCUGAGGCCAGGAAUUUGAGACCAGUCUAGGCAACAUAGCAAGACAUUGUCUGUACAAAAAAUAAAUACAUAAAAUAAAAACUUAACUGGGUAUGGUAGCAAGGGCCUGUAGUCCCAGCCACCUGGGAGGCUGAAGCCAGAAGAUUGCUUAAGCCCAGGGAUUUGAGGCUGCUGUGAGCUAUGAUUACAUCACUGAAUUCCAGUCUGGGCAACAGAGUGAGAGACCAUCUCUAAGAUUAAUAAUAAUAAAUAAAUAAAUAAAUAAAAAGUUGCAAGUGCUAAGUGGUACAGGGUGUCAUAGCAACACAUAGGCCAUACCUGACCCAGUAGAUGGGCGUGAGGUUAGGGGAGUCUUUCUGGAGGAAGUUAUGUCUAAGUUGAGACCUGAAGGACAAGUUGGAGUUAGGCAAUCAAGGAACAAGGAAGAACAUUCCAGGCCAAGUGAGUAGGAUAUGGGAAGGCCUGGGGGAUAGGCGAGAAAGAGCUUCAGAGUUAAGGAUUCAGAAAUCUGAAAGUAGGUUAACACCACACUCCAGGCACUUUUUACAGGUAGUGACUUUGCAUGAGUUUGAGUCUGUAGAAAAAAAUUUGAGUCUUGACAAGGUCACCAGGUGGAGAACAUUUCUUGAUAUUUGUUCCUUGGGAUGCAAGGGGUGGGGCAAUACAACGGCACUGAGGGGGUCCCCAGGACUUUGGUGGAGAACCCAGCAAGCCUAUUGGCAGGGAGUUCAGCAGGACAGUGGAGCAGGUUUUGUGCGAUUCUCUGGAUGCUUGGGCCAUGGCCAGUAGACCACAUGCUGCCAAGUUCAGAAGAAAAGAAUCAUACUUCAUAGGAAAGUGAAUCUUGCAUGUGGCCAGAAAAAGGAAAGACAAUUUAGUUUUAUAUGUUACAUUUUAAUAAUAGUCAUUUGUAACUGCAAAAUGAAAUCUGUGAAAAAAAAAGUUCAUUUCCAGAAGAAUAAUCUCUAACUGAUAUGCAAUGCCGCAGUAGGAUUUGUCCAGGUUUUAAUUAAUUUGAAUAAAUAAUGUAAGAUACUAGCCUGGGUGAGAUAAAAGGAAAUCUCUCUGCUUUCAUCUCUCCAUGAUGGAAAUAAUAACUACUUUAUUUCAAAACAAGUUUCCAAUUAGUUUCUGUGAAAUAUUAUUAUCCCCCUUUCCCAGAUACUGUAGCUCAUUUUGAAACUUAAUUUUGAUAAUAUAUAAACAUUUCUGAAACUUACUCUACAGGAAUGACAGUUAUAUUUGAAGGGAAGAAUGCUGCUGGGCUCUAACUGUAUUAUUUGGAAUAGUUCUAAAUAAUGGUAAAAAUAAUAAAUGGGAAUCAGUCAAAGUGCAAUCUCAUUUCAUGGGUAUUUAUGACCUAGUAAGGACUUGUCUUCACCCAAGAGCACAGAUGAAGGAAGGCCACUUUCUCCAAAGUUAUUCAGUGGAGUUUUUUCCUUUCAGCACUAGUUAUGCUUUACUUAAGAAUGUAUAUCAUCUUGUUCUUAUUUACAGAGAUGGUCUUAUUUAAAUAAUUGGUGAAUUAAGCAUAAUGGAACACCUACUGUGUUCCAGACACAGGGCCUGGGACUUGUGUGCUGGGAUUUGCAUGGUCAAAUAGGUAGAUGUGUCCUCUGUCUUUGGGGGAUUUAUAAUCUAGAGGAGAGGGGCAGGAGUUAAACAAUUUCUCUGUCUCUGUCUCUCUUUCUCCCUGCCACCCCCCACUGCCCACUGCCCGCACCCCCCACACACAGUGAUAGAAAUAAGAGGUCUAUGGUGACUUGAGAACACAUAAUAGGAAGAGUCAGACUAACCAGACUGAUUACCCUGGGCAGGGAAAGGCUUUGGUAUGAUUCAUUUG
This 4177-nucleotide long non-coding RNA is filed under the name Macaca mulatta (Rhesus monkey). RNAcentral describes it as "lncRNA (ENSMMUG00000053215.1)". The record is from RNAcentral. Lineage: Eukaryota; Metazoa; Chordata; Mammalia; Primates; Cercopithecidae.